This is a long non-coding RNA of Perca fluviatilis (European perch), 1320 nucleotides long. RefSeq lists it as uncharacterized. Lineage: Eukaryota; Metazoa; Chordata; Actinopteri; Perciformes; Percidae. The transcript has 3 exons. The record is from RefSeq and is a predicted model, not a curated record.
ACACGCAACACUGAGUAACAGAAGGAUGUUAAUAUGUGCUAUGAAUUUCUUCGGUUUCCUUCCAGUUUUCAGCAUCUUGCUCCUUUGUGUGUGUUUGCAGCUAACCUUCAACAUAAAUGUAACCAAAGUGAGAUGGCUGGCGGGGCCUUUAACUUGCAUUAUGCCUCGUGACAUUGACAAAAAGGUGAGGAGAGCGGGCCGUGUUUAUGCCGAGGCAAUGGGAUCAAAUCCGGGGAGAAAUCUAUUUCCUUGAGAAGCCAUGCCAGAGAGACGGGAAAACUGGACACAUCCUGACAUGCAAUUAGGUCAGCCUUCCAGUGUGAGCUUCUAGCGUGUCAGUCCAGGCUACUACAAGGUUAGAUAGAAGAGAUACCCUACGCUGGUGUCGGAACCUCUCAGCUGUAUGCGCUCCUGGGAGGACGGACGGAGGCUCACUUUGGAGGGAAACGUGAAGUGUGUUUGAGUGCCAGCUGGUGCCCCAAGACAUGGUUAAACAUCUACUGGCCAAAUGGUGCCUUGUCGUUGCUGUGAAGCGGGAAGACACUUUUCAUGGGACCUGCUGUCCAGGGGGAGGACGAGUGAAAGGGCGUGAGGAUUCACACGUCAGUCCUAUUUAUAACUUUAGCUGGAGGUGUGAUUCUGUGCACAGGUACAUAAUCAAACAUUAACCGUAUUCGAGGUAUUAUCGCGUGCUAUACAUUGGAUUUCAAUGAGGACAUGGAGGGCUGUUAAAAAAUGUCUAGGAUUAGGGUUUAAAAAUCCCUUUCCAGACAUGUUUUAAGACAUUAAAACACUCGUUGAAUAAUAAUUUGUCUGAUAUGGGUUUUCAACAAAUAAAGUUCAAUAAACUACAAAUUCUUGAAAGCACAUCUUUGUAAAAAUACAGAAUCUAUGAAUAUGCAAAUAUCAGCCCAUUUCAACCAAAUACUUCCAGGAACUAUGAAACCAGAGCAUUAACUCAGGACUAAAAUGUCUUUUGCUCACUUUUUUCAAAGAAUCUGAAGAACGGCAAAUUGUUUCAAUGAGGAAUUUAAAACAAUUAAAGGCGUUUAAAACUAUUUUCUCACCUAAGAAACUGAAUCAUAAAGUUUUUUUGGAUUUACUGUUGCACGACUGCAUGAUGUGACGUAAUGAAAAGAAGAAAAAAAAAGGAAAUGGCUGAUCCUACUACUGCCAACGUAUGUGAGGGACAGAGCGGGCAGGCAUGAGGAUUUUCAAAAAGAGGGUUUAUUCACCCAAAAGUGAAGAAAGUAAUUUACUAAUAUGUGCAACACAGUUUUUGGGCCCAUAAAAGAGAACAGAAAUAAAGUCUGGCUAUGA